UGAAUUCAAGUUGGAAGGCCAUGCAAUUGUGUAUGAAAAAUGGAAGUGGAAAACAUCCAAAUGGUCCUUCAACUUGCACCCAUGCUCUAGUCCUAUGUUACUUUGGCCAAAUGAGGUGAUCUUGGACGUUUUGGAAUGGUGAGGUCAAGGGAAACAACUUUCAUGUUGAACACUUUUUCAUUUGAAGCUUGUAUCAUGAUGAAUUUUGAGUUGGAAGUUUGGGAAAUCAAACAUAUUUGAAAAUUUUCUAAGUCCCAAGUCAAAUGUUCACUUUUUCCACCUUGAAUAACUUUU
This 294-nucleotide long non-coding RNA is filed under the name Lathyrus oleraceus (garden pea). RNAcentral's name for it is "Pisum sativum (pea) long non-coding RNA (PSAT_LNC005940)". The record is from RNAcentral. Lineage: Eukaryota; Viridiplantae; Streptophyta; Magnoliopsida; Fabales; Fabaceae.